Molecule: long non-coding RNA, 454 nt
Organism: Hibiscus syriacus
Lineage: Eukaryota; Viridiplantae; Streptophyta; Magnoliopsida; Malvales; Malvaceae
Exons: 2
Source: RefSeq, a predicted model, not a curated record
CUCAAGUAAGAAUUGGAGGAAGGGUGCCUCCAAGGAGACCAAGAAAGAUGGCGAAGUGAAAGAAAGGAAACAUUCUACAAGGGACAGAACUAAGAAGAAGAAAUGGUAUAAUAUCCACUUAAAAUUUGACAAGAGAAAGCAGCUAUGCUGAACAGGAUAAAGAAAUCUGCAACUUUUGGGCCUUACAAUUUACAAAUCAGCACGUAAUUUAUUGUAUAGGUUCGACAUUUGUGCAAGCAAACAACAUACUGCAUCAUAUUUUGUUUUGAUCAUAAUGUGAAAAGAUGGUUAAGAUAGAAAUUUGACCAUUUCUUCACCAUGACAAGGAUGAUAGCAACUCAUUAUUAUUGUGAAGUUCUCUUUCUUUUUCCUUCUUUCGGUCGUAUUUGUAAUUUAUUGUUUGUAUUCUCAACAAGUGCUCUUCUAAGACUCCCCGUUGACAAGCACUAUACAC